Molecule: ribosomal RNA, 452 nt
Filed under: uncultured bacterium
Lineage: Bacteria
Description: bacterial SSU rRNA
Rfam family: Bacterial small subunit ribosomal RNA
Source: RNAcentral
UACGGAAGGCAGCAGUGGGGAAUAUUGCACAAUGGGCGCAAGCCUGAUGCAGCCAUGCCGCGUGUAUGAAAAAGGCCUUCGGGUUGUAAAGUACUUUCAGUCGUGAGGAAGGUGUUAAGGUUAAUAACCUUAGCAAUUGACGUUAGCGACAGAAGAAGCACCGGCUAACUCCGUGCCAGCAGCCGCGGUAAUACGGAGGGUGCGAGCGUUAAUCGGAAUUACUGGGCGUAAAGGGCACGCAGGCGGUUAAUUAAGUUGGAUGUGAAAUCCCCGGGCUUAACCUGGGAAUGGCAUUCAAGACUGGUUAGCUAGAGUCUUGUAGAGGGGGUAGAAUUCCAUGUGUAGCGGUGAAAUGCGUAGAGAUGUGGAGGAAUACCGGUGGCGAAGGCGGCCCCUGGACAAAGACUGACGCUCAUGUGCGAAAGCGUGGGGAGCAAACGAGGGAUUAGAUA